GACGAACGCUGGCGGCGUGCCUAAUACAUGCAAGUCGAGCGCUGGAAGAGGAGGUUGCUUCUCCUGAUGAGUUGCGCACGGGGGAGUAUCGCGUAUGGAACCUGCCUGGUAGCGGGGGGGAACACUUGGGAAAGCUAGCUCUUACCGCAGAAGAGUAGAUGUAGCGUGACGUUUGCUUGAAAGGUGCAAUUUUGUCACUACCAGAUGAAGGUGCGGUGUAUUAGCUAGUUGGUGGGGUAACGGCUUACCAAGGCGACGACACAUAGUCGGCCAGAGAGGGUGAUCGGCCACACUGGGACUGAGACACGGCCCAGGCUCCUACGGGAGGCAGCAGUAGGGAAUCUUCGGCAAUGGACGGAAGUCUGACCGAGCAACGCCGCGUGAGUGAAGAAGGUUUUCGGAUCGUAAAGCUCUGUUGUAAGAGAAGAACGAGUGUGAGAGUGGAAAGUUCACACUGUGACGGUAUCUUACCAGAAAGGGACGGCUAACUACGUG
This 495-nucleotide ribosomal RNA is filed under the name uncultured bacterium. Its description in RNAcentral is "partial 16S ribosomal RNA". It matches the Rfam family "Bacterial small subunit ribosomal RNA", at positions 28 to 507 of the family's 1533-position model. The record is from RNAcentral.